This 497-nucleotide ribosomal RNA is filed under the name uncultured bacterium. RNAcentral describes it as "partial 16S ribosomal RNA". It matches the Rfam family "Bacterial small subunit ribosomal RNA", at positions 28 to 507 of the family's 1533-position model. The record is from RNAcentral.
GAUGAACGCUGGCGGCGUGCCUAAUACAUGCAAGUCGAGCGAACGGACGAGAAGCUUGCUUUUCUGAUGUUAGCGGCGGACGGGUGAGUAACACGUGGAUAACCUACCUAUAAGACUGGGAUAACUUCGGGAAACCGGAGCUAAUACCGGAUAAUAUUUUGAACCGCAUGGUUCAAAAGUGAAAGACGGUCUUGCUGUCACUUAUAGAUGGAUCCGCGCUGCAUUAGCUAGUUGGUAAGGUAACGGCUUACCAAGGCAACGAUGCAUAGCCGACCUGAGAGAGUGAUAGGCCACACUGGAACUGAGACACGGUCCAGACUCCUACGGGAGGCAGCAGUAGGGAAUCUUCCGCAAUGGGCGAAAGCCUGACGGAGCAACGCCGCGUGAGUGAUGAAGGUCUUCGGAUCGUAAAACUCUGUUAUUAGGGAAGAACAUAUGUGUAAGUAACUGUGCACAUCUUGACGGUACCUAAUCAGAAAGCCACGGCUAACUACGUG